Long non-coding RNA from Gossypium arboreum, 480 nucleotides. RefSeq lists it as uncharacterized. The record is from RefSeq and is a predicted model, not a curated record. The transcript is spliced from 3 exons. NCBI's taxonomy places the organism in Eukaryota, Viridiplantae, Streptophyta, Magnoliopsida, Malvales, Malvaceae.
GAGAUAUCAUCAUUUUUCUUCAGCAAAAACGCCAUGGGAGGUCUGAAAGCUGCUGGUUUUUCAUACUUUGACAUAUGUACGGGUAUGGGGUAUUACAAACCAGAAGAAACGCGACGCUCGUUGUGCCGUCUGUUGGGGCAUGGACCUCGCUUCCUUUUCAACCCCUCAAAUCAAACGUAUCCUCAGAGCUUCUUCUCUCGGACAAGAUGUUUUCGAUGCUUUAAUAUUGGUUAAGGUACUUAAGGAAGUGCAAGUUUUAUAAUUCUGAAGUUUCUUAGUUGUUCAUUGGAAAAUAUGUUAUUGUAGACAAGGUGUUUGUGUUUUGGUUGUAAAGACUAGGGCUAAUAUGUAACAACCCGACUUCCAAUGGUAUCGAAAAUUACGGUUCUGAAAUGUCAUUUUCGUAAAUUGUGUUAAUAGAUAUUAAUAUUUAAUAUUUAUGAGACCAUUAUGAAAAUAUAUUAAAGUUUGAUUUAGUAA